Molecule: ribosomal RNA, 229 nt
Filed under: uncultured bacterium
Lineage: Bacteria
Description: partial 16S ribosomal RNA
Rfam family: Bacterial small subunit ribosomal RNA
Source: RNAcentral
UGCGUAGGCGGAAUAAUAAGUCAGUGGUGAAAUCCUGUGGCUCAACCACAGAACUGCCAUUGAUACUGUUAUUCUUGAAUAUAGUUGAGGUAGGCGGAAUGUGUAAUGUAGCGGUGAAAUGCUUAGAUAUUACACAGAACACCGAUUGCGAAGGCAGCUUGCUAAACUAUUAUUGACGCUGAUGCACGAAAGCGUGGGGAGCGAACAGGAUUAGAUACCCUGGUAGUCC